This 794-nucleotide long non-coding RNA is filed under the name Prunus persica (peach). RNAcentral describes it as "long non-coding RNA (PPER_LNC000085)". Lineage: Eukaryota; Viridiplantae; Streptophyta; Magnoliopsida; Rosales; Rosaceae. The record is from RNAcentral.
GGACAUGUGAUGUGUCAAAGUGCACAUGAGGAUGGCUGUCAUUUUAACAAUAUUACAACGAUAGGUGAAAAUAUCAUAUGAUAUACCAUUUAAAAAAAGAAAAGAAAAGAAAGAAAUAGUUCCCCACGUGGGAUGGGGAUUUGGGGUACUCCUACCAUUCCAGACACGAACAUGAUAUAACGGAAUCAUAGAUGAAUUAGCUUAGUACAAAGGUUGAUGCAACUCCCCACCCAAAGCAUGACCCUUGAAUAUUUCAAUAGAGAGUUGGGGAACUCUUGUUGAAAUAUAUCAUAGCCGACCCGAUUUAUUACGUCAUACCAAAAUGUCCUACCCGAUUUACUAUAUCUACCAUGUCAAAAAGGACCUACCCAAUUUACUAUAUCGACCAUACCAAAAUGUCCUACCCGAUUACCCGAUUUACUAUAUCUACCAUACCAAAAAGGACCUACCCAAUUUAGUAUGUCUACCAAGCCUAAAAUAUCCUACCCGUCCAAGACGACCUCCGCCACGUGCAUACCCCCACGCAUGUCUUAAUAGCAAGCCACCACGUGCGCCCUAACACCUUCUCACAAUCCACUACUGUUUGUCGUCAUGUCCUGCACGUAUUCGAAGGGCACGUCAGACACCUCCAGCUGGGAUAACAUGGAUCCUCGACGGUCUUAUUCAUAGAUCACUCAUAAACGUUCACUAACUUAAACAUCGGAGAGAGUUUGACCGAUAUCACACCGAUGCCUUUUAUAGUGAUCUUUUCCUCUUUGUGUGUAGGUGAUCCCAUACCAUAACUUAGGUUUCGG